This is a non-coding RNA of Podarcis lilfordi (Lilford's wall lizard), 77 nucleotides long. The record is from the annotation of a GenBank genome assembly. Lineage: Eukaryota; Metazoa; Chordata; Lepidosauria; Squamata; Lacertidae.
GCCCAUUCGGUUAGCUCAGUGGGUGGAGCAUGAGACUCUUAACCUCAGGGUCGUAGGUUGGAGCUCCGCAUUGGGCA